RNAcentral lists this non-coding RNA (78 nucleotides) under Desulfatibacillum alkenivorans. Its description in RNAcentral is "c-di-GMP sequence". It matches the Rfam family "c-di-GMP-I riboswitch aptamer". Rfam says of the family: GEMM was predicted in a large-scale screen for bacterial structured RNA regulatory elements. Genes associated with GEMM are involved in a diverse array of functions, including chemotaxis regulation, signal transduction, secretion and chitin. The record is from RNAcentral. RNAcentral also lists the same sequence under 2 other names. Lineage: Bacteria; Pseudomonadati; Thermodesulfobacteriota; Desulfobacteria; Desulfobacterales; Desulfatibacillaceae.
UUUGUUCUCAGCCAAACCUGUUGCAAAGCGGGGACGGAAAGCCACGGGUCCGCGUCCGCGGACAGCCGGGUUGCCUGC